CCAUGCAUGAAUGCCAUAAUGCACCCUCUCAAUACUCUACUAAAAAGGAGUAUGAUCAAGACUACCACUCACUCGACUCCGACCCAAUCAUAAACUAACAUCAGGGUUGGGAGUGAGGGUCAAGGAAGUGCAAUACAACUCAAUAUACCACUAAAAAGGCUCUACAAAUCUUUGAAAUAGAGGAAAUGAAAUUAAUUUACAAAAGAAAUCAUUUCACAAUUCGAA
This 225-nucleotide long non-coding RNA is filed under the name Phoenix dactylifera (date palm). Its description in RNAcentral is "long non-coding RNA (PDAC_LNC021179)". The record is from RNAcentral. Lineage: Eukaryota; Viridiplantae; Streptophyta; Magnoliopsida; Arecales; Arecaceae.